This 488-nucleotide ribosomal RNA is filed under the name uncultured bacterium. RNAcentral's name for it is "bacterial SSU rRNA". It matches the Rfam family "Bacterial small subunit ribosomal RNA", at positions 912 to 1403 of the family's 1533-position model. The record is from RNAcentral.
GACGGGGCCCCGCACAAGCGUGGAGCAUGUGUUUAAUUCGAUGAUACGCGAGGACCUUACCAGGGCUUGACAUAUACAGGACGACAUUAGAGAUAGUGUUUCUUCUUCGGAAGCUUGUAUACAGGUGCUGCAUGGUUGUCGUCAGCUCGUGCCGUGAGGUGUUGGGUUAAGUCCCGCAACGAGCGCAACCCCUGUUGUAUGUUACCAUCAUUAAGUUGGGGACUCAUGCAAGACUGCCGGUGACAAACCGGAGGAAGGUGGGGAUGACGUCAAAUCAUCAUGGCCCUUAUGUCCUGGGCUACACACGUGCUACAAUGGCCGGUACAGAGUGAUGCGAAGCAGCGAUGUGGAGCAAAACGCUUAAAGCCGGUCUCAGUUCGGAUUGGAGUCUGAAACUCGACUCCAUGAAGGUGGAAUCGCUAGUAAUCGCGCAUCAGCAUGGCGCGGUGAAUACGUUCCCGGGCCUUGUACACACCGCCCGUCAAGCC